This 80-nucleotide non-coding RNA is filed under the name Lachnospiraceae bacterium 5_1_57FAA. Its description in RNAcentral is "Glycine riboswitch aptamer". It matches the Rfam family "Glycine riboswitch aptamer". From Rfam's summary of the family: This family represents the bacterial glycine riboswitch. Glycine riboswitches usually consist of two metabolite-binding aptamers domains with similar structures in tandem. The record is from Rfam by way of RNAcentral. RNAcentral also lists the same sequence under 1 other name. Lineage: Bacteria; Bacillati; Bacillota; Clostridia; Lachnospirales; Lachnospiraceae.
GGAUGGGACUCUGGAAAGAGCCUUUUCGAUAAGGCCACCGUAGAAGUAAAACUUUCAGGUAAAAAUACAGAGGGUACAGG